CGCAACCCUCGUCGUAUGUUAUAUGUGCAUACGAGACUGCCGGUAAAAGCCGGAGGAAGGUGAGGAUGAUGGUCAAGUCAGCAUGACCUUUAUAUCCAGGGCUACACACACGCUACAAUGGUCUGUACAAUGGGUAGCCAAGCCGCGAGGCGGAGCCAAUCCUGAAAGCAGGCCUCAGUUCAGAUUGCAGUCUGCAACUCGACUGCAUGAAGCCGGAGUUGCUAGUAACCGCAGGUCAGCAAUACUGCGGUGAAUACGUUCCCGGGUCUU
RNAcentral lists this ribosomal RNA (270 nucleotides) under uncultured Anaerolineaceae bacterium. RNAcentral's name for it is "partial 16S ribosomal RNA". It matches the Rfam family "Bacterial small subunit ribosomal RNA", at positions 1097 to 1382 of the family's 1533-position model. The record is from RNAcentral. Lineage: Bacteria; Bacillati; Chloroflexota; Anaerolineae; Anaerolineales; Anaerolineaceae.